UACGGAGGGUGCGAGCGUUAAUCGGAAUUAUUGGGCGUAAAGGGUGCGUAGGUAGUGUUAUAAGUUAACUGUGAAAAGCCUGGGCUUCACCUGGGUCUGUCAGUUAAGACUGUAGUACUAGAGUAGAGGAGAGGGUAGUGGAAUUUCCGGUGUAGCGGUGAAAUGCGUAGAUAUCGGAAGGAACACCGGUGGCGAAGGCGGCUACCUGGCCUAUUACUGACACUGAGGCACGAAAGCGUGGUUAGCAAACAGG
This 253-nucleotide ribosomal RNA is filed under the name uncultured bacterium. RNAcentral describes it as "partial 16S ribosomal RNA". It matches the Rfam family "Bacterial small subunit ribosomal RNA", at positions 524 to 776 of the family's 1533-position model. The record is from RNAcentral.